GACGAACGCUGGCGGCGUGCUUAACACAUGCCAGUCGAACGGUGAAGCGCCUUCCUUUUUGGUGGGUGUGGAUGAGUGGCGAACGGGUGAGUAACACGUGAGUAACCUGCCCCCUUCUUCUGGAUAACCGCAUGAAAGUGUGGCUAAUACGGGAUAUUCUGGGUCUGUCGCAUGAUGGGUCUGGGAAAGAUAUUGUUUCGGUGGGGGAUGGGCUCGCGGCCUAGCAGCUUGUUGGUGGGGUGAUGGCCUACCAAGGCGGUGCCGGGUAGCCGGCCUGAGAGGGUGGACGGUCACACGGGGACUGAGACACGGCCCAGACUCCUACGGGAGGCAGCAGUGGGGAAUAUUGCACAAUGGGCGCAAGCCUGAUGCAGCGACGCCGCGUGAGGGAUGGAGGCCUUCGGGUUGUGAACCUCUUUCGCCAGUGAAGCAGGCCUGCCUCGUUUGUGGGUGGGUUGACGGUAGCUGGAUAAGAAGCGCCGGCUAACUACGUG
Molecule: ribosomal RNA, 494 nt
Filed under: uncultured bacterium
Lineage: Bacteria
Description: partial 16S ribosomal RNA
Rfam family: Bacterial small subunit ribosomal RNA
Source: RNAcentral